CAGCAGCCGCGGUAAUACGGAGGGUCCGAGCGUUAUCCGGAAUUAUUGGGUUUAAAGGGUCCGUAGGCGGGCGAUUAAGUCAGUGGUGAAAGUCUGCAGCUCAACUGUAGAAUUGCCUUUGAUACUGGUCGUCUUGAGUUAUAGUGAAGUUGCCGGAAUAUGUAGUGUAGCGGUGAAAUGCAUAGAUAUUACAUAGAACACCGAUUGCGAAGGCAGGUGACUAACUAUAUACUGACGCUGAGGGACGAAAGCGUGGGGAGCGAACAGGAUUAGAUACCCUGGUAGUCCACGCCGUAAACGAUGGAUACUAGCUGUCCGGAACCUUGAGUUCUGGGCGGCCAAGCGAAAGUGAUAAGUAUCCCACCUGGGGAGUACGUUCGCAAGAAUGAAACUCAAAGGAAUUGACGGGGGCCCGCACAAGCGGUGGAGCAUGUGGUUUAAUUCGAUGAUACGCGAGGAACCUUACCAGGGCUUAAAUGCAUAUUGACAGGGGUAGAGAUACCUUUUCCUUCGGGCAAUUUGCAAGGUGCUGCAUGGUUGUCGUCAGCUCGUGCCGUGAGGUGUCAGGUUAAGUCCUAUAACGAGCGCAACCCCUACCGUUAGUUGCCAGCAUGUCAUGAUGGGGACUCUAACGGGACUGCCGGUGCAAACCGUGAGGAAGGUGGGGAUGACGUCAAAUCAUCACGGCCCUUACGUCCUGGGCCACACACGUGCUACAAUGGCAGGUACAGAGAGCAGCCAUGUCGCAAGGCAGAGCGAAUCUACAAAACCUGUCACAGUUCGGAUCGGGGUCUGCAACUCGACCCCGUGAAGCUGGAAUCGCUAGUAAUCGGAUAUCAGCCAUGAUCCGGUGAAUACGUUCCCGGGCCUUGUACACACCGCCCGUCAAGCCAUGGAAGCUGGGAGUGCCUGAAGUCCGUCACCGUAAGGAGCGGCCUAGGGUAAAAUUGGUAACUAGGGCUAAGUCGUAACAAGGUAGC
This 980-nucleotide ribosomal RNA is filed under the name uncultured Cellulophaga SIC.834. RNAcentral's name for it is "bacterial SSU rRNA". It matches the Rfam family "Bacterial small subunit ribosomal RNA", at positions 509 to 1500 of the family's 1533-position model. Lineage: Bacteria; Pseudomonadati; Bacteroidota; Flavobacteriia; Flavobacteriales; Flavobacteriaceae. The record is from RNAcentral.